RNAcentral lists this long non-coding RNA (332 nucleotides) under Physcomitrium patens. RNAcentral describes it as "long non-coding RNA (PPAT_LNC006850)". The record is from RNAcentral. Lineage: Eukaryota; Viridiplantae; Streptophyta; Bryopsida; Funariales; Funariaceae.
AUAAAAAAUCUUAAAGAAAUAUUAGAAUGAUCACAAAUAUAUCUCAAAUACAUCUCAAUUCAAUCUUAAUUUAAUCCUAGUUAAAAUCCUAUUGGACUUCAUUUAAAUUUUAGACCAAAAACUAACUAAAUCUUAAAUCUUAAUAAAAUCCUAAACCCUAAACCAAAUCCUAAUCAAAUCCUAAAUCCUUAAUCAAAUCCUAACCAAAUCUUAAAUCAUAAAUCAAAUCCUAAACUCUAAACCAAACCCUAAAUCCUAAAUCAAAUCCUAACCAAACCCUAAUCAAAUCCUAAAUCCUAAACCAAAUCCUAAUCCUAAAUCAAAUCCUAAUC